GUAGGUGGCAAGCGUUGUCCGGAAUUAUUGGGCGUAAAGCGCGCGCAGGCGGGUUCUUUAAGUCUGAUGUGAAAGCCCACGGGCUCAACCGUGGAGGGUCAUUGGAAACUGGAGAACUUGAGUACAGAAGAGGAAAGCGGAAUUCCACGUGUAGCGGUGAAAUGCGUAGAGAUGUGGAGGAACACCAGUGGCGAAGGCGGCUUUCUGGUCUGUAACUGACGCUGAGGCGCGAAAGCGUGGGGAGCAAACAGGAUUAGAUACCCUGGUAGUCCACGCCGUAAACGAUGAGUGCUAGUGUUAGGGGGUUUCCGCCCCUUAGUGCCGCAGCUAACGCAUUAAGCACUCCGCCUGGGGAGUACGGCCGCAAAGGCUG
This 373-nucleotide ribosomal RNA is filed under the name uncultured organism. Its description in RNAcentral is "partial 16S ribosomal RNA". It matches the Rfam family "Bacterial small subunit ribosomal RNA", at positions 527 to 896 of the family's 1533-position model. The record is from RNAcentral.